CGGAAGUUCCCUAGGGGUCAAAUCAGAGCUGCAGCUGCCAUCCUGUGUCACAGCCAUAGUAACAUAAGAUUUGAGCCUACACCUGUCUGCGACCUACACCACAGCUCACAGCAAUGACGGAUCCUUAACCCACUGAGCAAGGCCAGGGACUGAACCUACAUCCUCAUGGAUACUAGUCAGAUUCCUUACCACUGAGCCACAAUGGGAACUCCCCUAGAUGGAUCAUUUUUCUAAUCCAUCAAGCUUCUCCUGAAUUAUAUUCAAGCUUCCUUAGACUGAGUGUUUUCCAUCUAAUACUCCAGGAUAAGCCAGGAUCUAAUUCUGGUCCUGCUUUUAUACAUUUUUAACUUCACUCAUCCAUUUACUCAACUGCUACUUUUCCCCCUUUGCACCACCCACUCCUCUAGCUUGCAGUGCCCAAGGCAGUCCCUGGCCUUUUUGGAGAUCACAGCCUUAGCGAGGACUACUGAAAUGAAACCAAAGGGGGUGUCCUUGUGGAAACAUAUGGCUGGGGCUGAAAGAAUGGGAGGAGCAACUGUAUUUCAGGAAUGUCGGGUGUGCUGUGGUUAAAACAAACAAACAAAACAACAGAAAACAAUCAAAACACCUCCAAAAUGCAAUAAUGUUAUGCAAUGAAGAUUUUCUUGCACACACAUUCCAUUGCAGACUGUGUGACUCUCCAAGGCAGCCAUCCUUUCUACAGAAAUCAUGACUGCUUGUUUCUCCUGGUGUCUUACCAACAUGUGCCAGCUUCCAGGUGAGGCAGAAAAAGCGGACCUGGUGGGGGUGGUGUCUCACACCUGCAUUUAAGCGCCUUUGAGUGGAAGAACCCCCACCCUGCUCUCUCCUGCUCACGUGCCAUUGGCUGGGACAGAUCACGUGGCCCAGCUAAGCGCAGGGGAGGCUGGGAGAGACGCCUUGCCCAGAGCAGAUGCAGGUGGAGGAGAUGGACGGAUGGGCACCUGGCAUCGUCUCUUCUGCGGUGACUCACGUGGCUGGAGCCCAGAAAGAGAAGCUCGGGUUCACCUACUCCUGGACUCUCAGGUGUUAAGACCACAAAAGACCCAAGACCUGAGCCAUGACUGGAGAAGCUGCACUGAAAUUUUCCAGAAGGACCUGAAGAAAAUGCUCUCUAGAACUCCAGCCCAUCUGUGUCGCGUGUCUACAGUGCUUCCAUUGGUGGUGUUACUGGACUGGGUUUGUUUUGGCCAAUUGCACAGCAAGCCGAAAGCUGAGACAUGGAGGUUUGUAGCCAGUCACGGAAACAGGAGAAGCAUCUCACAUCACCUCCCCAAAGACAACGGCCUUGGGGUAUUUACUGGAUAA
Molecule: long non-coding RNA, 1326 nt
Filed under: Sus scrofa (pig)
Lineage: Eukaryota; Metazoa; Chordata; Mammalia; Artiodactyla; Suidae
Description: lncRNA (ENSSSCG00070002432.1)
Source: RNAcentral